This 497-nucleotide ribosomal RNA is filed under the name uncultured bacterium. RNAcentral's name for it is "partial 16S ribosomal RNA". It matches the Rfam family "Bacterial small subunit ribosomal RNA", at positions 28 to 507 of the family's 1533-position model. The record is from RNAcentral.
GAUGAACGCUGGCGGCGUGCCUAAUACAUGCAAGUCGAGCGAACGGACGAGGAGCUUGCUCCUCUGACGUUAGCGGCGGACGGGUGAGUAACACGUGGAUAACCUACCUAUAAGACUGGGAUAACGUCGGGAAACCGGAGCUAAUACCGGAUAAUAUAUUGAACCGCAUGGUUCAAUAGUGAAAGACGGUUUUGCUGUCACUUAUAGAUGGAUCCGCGCCGCAUUAGCUAGUUGGUAAGGUAACGGCUUACCAAGGCAACGAUGCGUAGCCGACCUGAGAGGGUGAUCGGCCACACUGGAACUGAGACACGGUCCAGACUCCUACGGGAGGCAGCAGUAGGGAAUCUUCCGCAAUGGGCGAAAGCUUGACGGAGCAACGCCGCGUGAGUGGUGAAGGUCUUCGGAUCGUAAAACUCUGUUAUUAGGGAAGAACAAAUGUGUAAGUAACUAUGCACGUCUUGACGGUACCUAAUCAGAAAGCCACGGCUAACUACGUG